AGAGAGUGCGAACGUUGUUCGGAAUUACUGGGCUUAAAGCGCACGUAGGCGGCGCCGCAAGUGCGGGGUGAAAUCCCACGGCUUACCCGUGGAACUGCCUUGCAGACUGUGGUGCUAGAGGAUGGUAGGGGAGAGCGGAACUCCUGGUGGAGCGGUGAAAUGCGUAGAUAUCAGGAGGAACACCGGUGGCGAAGGCGGCUCUCUGGUCCAUGACUGACGCUGAGGUGCGAAAGCUAGGGGAGCAAACGGGAUUAGAUACCCCGGUAGUCCUAGCUGUAAACGAUGGGCACUAGCUUGGGGUCUCCCUGUGUGAUCCCAGGUGAAGCAAAAGUGAUAAGUGCCCCGCCUGGGGAGUAUGGUCGCAAG
This 366-nucleotide ribosomal RNA is filed under the name uncultured bacterium. RNAcentral's name for it is "bacterial SSU rRNA". It matches the Rfam family "Bacterial small subunit ribosomal RNA", at positions 527 to 892 of the family's 1533-position model. The record is from RNAcentral.